This 450-nucleotide ribosomal RNA is filed under the name uncultured bacterium. RNAcentral describes it as "bacterial SSU rRNA". It matches the Rfam family "Bacterial small subunit ribosomal RNA", at positions 354 to 796 of the family's 1533-position model. The record is from RNAcentral.
GUGGGGAAUCUUGGGCAAUGGGCGCAAGCCUGACCCAGCCAUGCCGCGUGUGCGAAGAAGGCCUUCGGGUUGUAAAGCACUUUCAGUGGUGAAGAAAAGCCAGGGGCUAAUACCCCCAGGUCUUGACGUUAGCCACAGAAGAAGUACCGGCUAACUCCGUGCCAGCAGCCGCGGUAAUACGGAGGGUACGAACGUUAAUCGGAAUUACUGGGCGUAAAGCGCGCGUAGGCGGUUCGGUAAGUGGGAUGUGAAAGCCCUGGGCUCAACCUGGGAACUGCAUUCCAAACUGCCGGGCUAGAGUAUGGUAGAGGGAGGUAGAAUUUCCUGUGUAGCGGUGAAAUGCGUAGAUAUAGGAAGGAAUACCAGUGGCGAAGGCGGCCUCCUGGAUCAAUACUGACGCUGAGGUGCGAAAGCGUGGGGAGCAAACAGGAUUAGAUACCCGAGUAGUCC